RNAcentral lists this ribosomal RNA (463 nucleotides) under Vreelandella stevensii. RNAcentral describes it as "partial 16S ribosomal RNA". It matches the Rfam family "Bacterial small subunit ribosomal RNA", at positions 338 to 795 of the family's 1533-position model. Lineage: Bacteria; Pseudomonadati; Pseudomonadota; Gammaproteobacteria; Oceanospirillales; Halomonadaceae. The record is from RNAcentral.
CCUACGGGGGGCUGCAGUGGGGAAUAUUGGACAAUGGGGGCAACCCUGAUCCAGCCAUGCCGCGUGUGUGAAGAAGGCCCUCGGGUUGUAAAGCACUUCAGUGAGGAAGAACGCCUGGUGGUUAAUACCCAUCAGGAAAGACAUCACUCACAGAAGAAGCACCGGCUAACUCCGUGCCAGCAGCCGCGGUAAUACGGAGGGUGCGAGCGUUAAUCGGAAUUACUGGGCGUAAAGCGCGCGUAGGUGGCUUGAUAAGCCGGUUGUGAAAGCCCCGGGCUCAACCUGGGAACGGCAUCCGGAACUGUCAAGCUAGAGUGCAGGAGAGGAAGGUAGAAUUCCCGGUGUAGCGGUGAAAUGCGUAGAGAUCGGGAGGAAUACCAGUGGCGAAGGCGGCCUUCUGGACUGACACUGACACUGAGGUGCGAAAGCGUGGGUAGCAAACAGGAUAGAUACCCCAGUAGUC